This 792-nucleotide long non-coding RNA is filed under the name Nicotiana benthamiana. RNAcentral describes it as "long non-coding RNA (NBEN_LNC011999)". Lineage: Eukaryota; Viridiplantae; Streptophyta; Magnoliopsida; Solanales; Solanaceae. The record is from RNAcentral.
AACUUUAGUUGAAGCAUUCUAUUCAAAUCUUCACAAAGAUGAAGAUGGUGAGGUGGUCACCUCCAUCAAUGGCAUUCACAUUCUCCUCUCCGACGAGAACCUUCACACCAUCGCCCGCAUUCCAAACGAUGGUGAAGAUAUUUACCGGUAUAUUGAUGAGGCCGGUUCUCUCCUUGAUGAAUCUAUUCUUUUCCGCCAAGCCGGAAUCACCUAUGAUCAAGCUUCUUCUCGUCGUCCUACUAUCUCGGGCAUGGACCCAAAUUAUCGACUUCUCCUCUAUUUCAUCACCCGUGUCCUAAGACCUCGUAGGCACAAUCACACCACCAUCUCCUAAGAGGAUGCCAAGCUUUUACAUGCCAUUGUCACUGGAGCCAAGAUCAAUUGGUGUCGGCUCAUUAAAAUGCAUAUGCUCNNNNNNNNNNNNNNNNNNNNNNNNNNNUGUCCUAAGACCUCGUAGGCACAAUCAUACCACCAUAUCCCAAGAGGACUCCAAGCUCUUACAUGCCAUUGUCACUGGAGCCAAGAUCAAUUGGUGUCGUCUCAUUAAAAUGCACAUGUUCGAUGCCGUCGCCGAUAACAUGCCCCUUCCUUAUUCUCUCCUCAUCAUGAACUUUCUUGAAGCAUCCGGAUUUGUCACGGAAAAUGGUCCUCUUAAAAGGAGUACCAAAAUCUGGGAAAUCUCGGAAUCAUCCUUUCAUCAUGAUGGUGAUCAUGCUCCAGCUCCUCCUCCUACCCGUCCUGCCCGUCGUGCUCGUCCAUCUCAGGAGCCCACUCUCCAAACUAUAUCCGACC